Molecule: ribosomal RNA, 373 nt
Filed under: uncultured organism
Description: bacterial SSU rRNA
Rfam family: Bacterial small subunit ribosomal RNA
Source: RNAcentral
CGUAGGGACCGAGCGUUGUCCGGAUUCAUUGGGCGUAAAGAGCUCGUAGGCGGCCACUCAAGUCGAUUGUGAAACCUCGAGGCUUAACCUCGAGCCUGCAUUCGAUACUGGGCGGCUAGAGUCUGGUAGGGGGAUCUGGAAUUCCUGGUGUAGCGGUGGAAUGCGCAGAUAUCAGGAGGAACACCGGUGGCGAAGGCGGGAUCCUGGGCCAGUACUGACGCUGAGGAGCGAAAGCGUGGGGAGCAAACAGGAUUAGAUACCCUGGUAGUCCACGCCGUAAACGAUGGGCGCUAGGUGUGGGAGGUCAUCGACUCCUUCCGUGCCGCAGCUAACGCAUUAAGCGCCCCGCCUGGGGAGUACGGCCGCAAGGCUA